RNAcentral lists this long non-coding RNA (1292 nucleotides) under Struthio camelus australis. RNAcentral's name for it is "lncRNA (ENSSCUG00000012192.1)". Lineage: Eukaryota; Metazoa; Chordata; Aves; Struthioniformes; Struthionidae. The record is from RNAcentral.
UAGUGGAAAUAUGUGUGCGCGUGAUGCACCUGACUACUAUCAUCCCUCCUUACUUCUUCUGCAGAACUAAUAUCUGAGCCUGGGAGCACAGGGCUGCUAGAGAUAUUAGCUUCUAGGUGACUUAUAACAUCAAAGACAUUAAAACCCACUGAGUUUGUAUGUUAUGUUCUUUCCCAAAGGCAGAGUAUUUGUCCAGGUCCUUCUCCUACCAAGGGUCUCCUGAAGAGCGCUCAACUUUUUGCCUUGAACUGGGAUGGAGGAUGAUCUAGACCGCAGCAAGGGGAGUGCAUCGUCACACCCUGUCUUGGUGAAGGAACACUGCAGCACAGAGUCUUUGUCUGCUCUAGGAUAUUGGAGAUGUGGCUCAAUCAGAGGUUAGAAUGGGAAAAAGAAGAACAAAUCAGAAUUCUCAUGAAGUAAAACAACUUUAGUCACUUCAGCACUUCAGUUUUAUACAACGAUGUCAAGAGCGUAAGUUAAAAACACCCGGAUAGUCCUUCUCUUCCAAAGUGCUUGACUUUACCCCCAUGAGAUUGUUCUUUCAGCCCAGCUUUUUGUGCAUACCACAUAUGUAUGUACUUGUAUAGCCUGUUUAUUUACCUACAAAAACUAGCCGCUGUUUUAAAAAUUUUAGGUAGUAGGAGGAGAAAGGACUUUUCAAAAGCCUGAUAUAAAAGUAAUACAGUGCAGAAGGAAGGUAAAUGGAAAGGUAAAAUAGCAAUGUAAGAAUAUUGACAGUCGAAACCUGUAAUGCAGACCUUUUGAGCCAGCAGCCUGGCAUGCCCUGCCAGUCUGACAUUAGCAUUGCCACAAGGGAGGCCUCAGUUUGCUUGACCUUGAGAUUCUUGUUCUCGGGAUAAAUAGAAAAUAGGAUAAUACUGAGGUAAUACUUUCCCUCCAGAGGAAGGUGCAGUUUAUUAGUAGUCUUUACAUGUUGUUAUUUUGCUUAUCAUGGAAAAUAGCCUUGGAAGGAACUGGCUGCCUCACUUCCGUGGGCACAGAGCAAUUAUAUGUUAGGGGACUGUGGGAGCAGCAAGUUAAGAGAAACUGACUACUGAAAUAAGGGAAAGAUUGUUCUGUUAAAGCCAAAGCUGAUACUAAGCUCAGUUAGUGCCUCUGCGAACAUAUUCAGGCAAAGAGUGAAGCCUGUCUCCCUGACGUACCCCAGCAGCUACCUUCCCGAUCCCCUACCAGGAUGGUGCCGGCACCGUUGCGUUGAUCACUCCAACUCUGCCUCGAGACCAGAGGCAAACAAGGAUUUUCUAGUUAAACAGUUCGCUUUUGGAAAAUGC